RNAcentral lists this ribosomal RNA (256 nucleotides) under uncultured bacterium. Its description in RNAcentral is "partial 16S ribosomal RNA". It matches the Rfam family "Bacterial small subunit ribosomal RNA", at positions 524 to 776 of the family's 1533-position model. The record is from RNAcentral.
UACGAAGGGGGGCUAGCGUUGCUCGGAAUCACUGGGCGUAAAGGGUGCGUAGGCGGGUCUUUUAAGUCAGGGGUGAAAUCCUGGAGCUCAACUCCAGAACUGCCUUUGAUACUGAGGAUCUUGAGUUCGGGAGAGGGUGAGUGGAACUGCGAGUGUAGAGGUGAAAUUCGUAGAUAUUCGCAAGAACACCAGUGGCGAAGGCGGCUCACUGGCCCGAUACUGACGCUGAGGCACGAAAGCGUGGGGAGCAAACAGG